Molecule: ribosomal RNA, 557 nt
Filed under: uncultured bacterium
Lineage: Bacteria
Description: bacterial SSU rRNA
Rfam family: Bacterial small subunit ribosomal RNA
Source: RNAcentral
ACGGGUGAGUAACGCGUGGGAACAUACCCUUUUCUACGGAAUAGCUCUGGGAAACUGGAAUUAAUACCGUAUACGCCCUACGGGGGAAGGAUUUAUCGGGGAAGGAUUGGCCCGCGUUGGAUUAGCUAGUUGGUGGGGUAAAGGCCUACCAAGGCGACGAUCCAUAGCUGGUCUGAGAGGAUGAUCAGCCACAUUGGGACUGAGACACGGCCCAAACUCCUACGGGAGGCAGCAGUGGGGAAUAUUGGACAAUGGGCGCAAGCCUGAUCCAGCCAUGCCGCGUGAGUGAUGAAGGCCUUAGGGUUGUAAAGCUCUUUCACCGAUGAAGAUAAUGACGGUAGUCGGAGAAGAAGCCCCGGCUAACUUCGUGCCAGCAGCCGCGGUAAUACGAAGGGGGCUAGCGUUGUUCGGAAUUACUGGGCGUAAAGCGCACGUAGGCGGAUAUUUAAGUCAGGGGUGAAAUCCCAGAGCUCAACUCUGGAACUGCCUUUGAUACUGGGUAUCUUGAGUAUGGAAGAGGUAAGUGGAAUUGCGAGUGUAGAGGUGAAAUUCGUAGA